CCUACGGGAGGCUGCAGUGAGGAAUAUUGGUCAAUGGGCGCAAGCCUGAACCAGCCAUCCCGCGUGAAGGAAGAAGGCCCUACGGGUUGUAAACUUCUUUUCUGUUUGAAGAAUAAGCUCGUCGAGACGAGUGAUGCCGGUAGGACAGGAAUAAGCAUCGGCUAACUCCGUGCCAGCAGCCGCGGUAAUACGGAGGAUGCAAGCGUUAUCCGGAUUUAUUGGGUUUAAAGGGUGCGCAGGUGGUUUAAUAAGUCAGUGGUGAAAGUCUGGCGCUUAACGUUAGGAUUGCCAUUGAUACUGUUAGACUUGAAUAUGGAUGAGGUAGGCGGAAUGUGUAGUGUAGCGGUGAAAUGCUUAGAUAUUACACAGAACACCGAUUGCGAAGGCAGCUUACUAAUCCAUCAUUGACGCUGAGGCACGAAAGCGUGGGGAUCAAACAGGAUUAGAUACCCCAGUAGUC
RNAcentral lists this ribosomal RNA (460 nucleotides) under uncultured Bacteroidota bacterium. RNAcentral's name for it is "bacterial SSU rRNA". It matches the Rfam family "Bacterial small subunit ribosomal RNA", at positions 338 to 795 of the family's 1533-position model. The record is from RNAcentral. Lineage: Bacteria; Pseudomonadati; Bacteroidota.